ACGCACGCUGGCGGCGUGCUUAACACAUGCAAGUCGCACGGUAAGGCUCCAGCUUGCUGGGGUACACGAGUGGCGAACGGGUGAGUAACACGUGGGUGACCUGCCCUGCACUUCGGGAUAAGCCUGGGAAACUGGGUCUAAUACCGGAUAGGACCAUGGUGUGGAUACUGUGGUGGAAAGUUUUUUCGGUGUGGGAUGGGCCCGCGGCCUAUCAGCUUGUUGGUGGGGUAAUGGCCUACCAAGGCGGCGACGGGUAGCCGGCCUGAGAGGGUGGACGGCCACAUUGGGACUGAGACACGGCCCAGACUCCUACGGGAGGCAGCAGUGGGGAAUAUUGCACAAUGGGCGGAAGCCUGAUGCAGCGACGCCGCGUGGGGGAUGACGGCCUUCGGGUUGUAAACUCCUUUCACCAUCGACGAAGGGUUUCUGACGGUAGAUGGAGAAGAAGCACCGGCUAACUACGUG
Molecule: ribosomal RNA, 465 nt
Filed under: uncultured bacterium
Lineage: Bacteria
Description: partial 16S ribosomal RNA
Rfam family: Bacterial small subunit ribosomal RNA
Source: RNAcentral